RNAcentral lists this ribosomal RNA (433 nucleotides) under uncultured bacterium. Its description in RNAcentral is "bacterial SSU rRNA". It matches the Rfam family "Bacterial small subunit ribosomal RNA", at positions 28 to 507 of the family's 1533-position model. The record is from RNAcentral.
GGUGAACGCUGGCGGUAUGGAUAAGGCAUGCAAGUCGAAUGGGUUUAGACCCAUGGCAGACGAGGUAGUAACACGUAGGAACGUCCCCGGAAGUCGGGCAUAACCCAUCGAAAGGUGGGAUAAUUCCCGAUGGUCUCGUAAGAGUAAAGAUUUAUCGCUUCCGGAGCGGCCUGCGUAAUAUCACGCUAGUUGGUGAGGUAAUGGCUCACCAAGGCUAUGACGUUUAGGGGACCUGAGAGGGUGACCCCCACCGAUGAAACUGAGACACGGUUCAUACCCCUACGGGGGGCUGCAGCCGAGAAUAUUCGACAAUGGACGAAAGUCUGAUCGAGCGAUACCGCGUGGUGGAUGAAGCGCUUCGGCGCGUAAACACCUUUUAUGGAGGAGGAAGUCAUUGACGUUACUCCAUGAAUAAGGGGCUCCUAACUCUGUG